Molecule: ribosomal RNA, 592 nt
Filed under: uncultured fungus
Lineage: Eukaryota; Fungi
Description: eukaryotic LSU rRNA
Rfam family: 5.8S ribosomal RNA (bases 217-370)
Source: RNAcentral
CUUGGUCAUUUAGAGGAAGUAAAAGUCGUAACAAGGUCUCCGUUGGUGAACCAGCGGAGGGAUCAUUACCGAGUUUACAACUCCCAAACCCCUGUGAACAUACCUUACUGUUGCCUCGGCGGAUCAGCCCGCGCCCGGUAAAACGGGACGGCCCGCCAGAGGACCCCUAAACUCUGUUUUUAUUGUAACUUCUGAGUAAAACCAUAAAUAAAUCAAAACUUUCAACAACGGAUCUCUUGGUUCUGGCAUCGAUGAAGAACGCAGCAAAAUGCGAUAAGUAAUGUGAAUUGCAGAAUUCAGUGAAUCAUCGAAUCUUUGAACGCACAUUGCGCCCGCCAGUAUUCUGGCGGGCAUGCCUGUUCGAGCGUCAUUUCAACCCUCAAGCCCCCGGGUUUGGUGUUGGGGNAUCGGGCUGUACUCCAGCCCGGCCCCGAAAUCUAGUGGCGGUCUCGCUGCAGCCUCCAUUGCGUAGUAGCUAACACCUCGCAACUGGAACGCGGCGCGGCCAAGCCGUUAAACCCCCAACUUCUGAAUGUUGACCUCGGAUCAGGUAGGAAUACCCGCUGAACUUAAGCAUAUCAAUAAGCGGAGA